CGAGUUCGCGGGAGAGUAGGUUAUUGCCAGGGUUUUUAUUUUUAUACUUUAAACUUUGAUUUUAUUUUUAUGUUUUUUAAAUAUUGGUGUUUUUGAAUGUGUUGUUUAAAUAACAUAAAAAAUAAAAUAUAUAUUGACAUGUAUUAAACAAAGAUAUAUAUUAUUUUAUGUUGUAUAAAUAAAUUGGCAAAAUAGAGAUGGAAGAUAAAAAUAUGGUCAAAGUAAUAAGAGUCUAUGGUGAAUGCCUAGGAGC
RNAcentral lists this unclassified non-coding RNA (253 nucleotides) under Borreliella burgdorferi (Lyme disease spirochete). Its description in RNAcentral is "partial 5S-23S ribosomal RNA intergenic spacer region". The record is from RNAcentral. Lineage: Bacteria; Pseudomonadati; Spirochaetota; Spirochaetia; Spirochaetales; Borreliaceae.